GAAAAGUAUGGUAAGAUACGGUAAGGAAAAAGAAAAAGGAGUAUGAAAUAGCUAGAUGAAAGAAUUUCAUUCUUGAAACCUGUAUUGGUUAGAGGUGAUCCCUUGCAGUGUACUAGCUUUAAUCAGGAAUCUGGGUUCAUUUUUUCAAGUUCAGCAACUGGUUAGAGAUUAGUUAAGUGGUUCUAUGCUGCUUUGCAAAUUAACAAGCAUUAUUUGUUCAGUCAACAAACAUACAUCACAUGCCUACUAUGUGUUAGGCACUACUACUGUCUAGGCACUGAGGAUAUAGUGGCCACUUUUUUUACCCCGAGAGAUAUGCUCUCCACUCACUUUCCUGGGGUUCCCCCCCCAACCCAGAGUUAGAGCUACAUGGCAGUAUGCUUAUUAGUAUUUAAGAAAAUCACCUGGUUUUCUUUUUACUUUUAACAGGUCACACAUUUUCAUGGUUCAAAAUUCAAAAGGUAAAGGUGGUUAGCAUACAGUGAAGUGUACUUCCCACUCCAAUUCCAGAGUCACUCAGUUUUCCUCCCUGGAGAAACAGUAUCA
Non-coding RNA from Ceratotherium simum simum (southern white rhinoceros), 546 nucleotides. The record is from RefSeq and is a predicted model, not a curated record. Lineage: Eukaryota; Metazoa; Chordata; Mammalia; Perissodactyla; Rhinocerotidae.